GAUGAGGAAUGAAUUUACCAUUACCCAUGUUCUCAUCCCCAAGCAAAGUGCUGGGUCUGAUUACUGCAACACAGAGAACGAAGAAGAACUUUUCCUCAUACAGGAUCAGCAGGGCCUCAUCACACUGGGCUGGAUUCAUACUCACCCCACACAGACUGCGUUUCUCUCCAGUGUCGACCUACACACUCACUGCUCUUAUCAGAUGAUGUUGCCAGAGUCAGUAGCCAUUGUUUGCUCCCCCAAGUUCCAAGAAACUGGAUUCUUUAAACUAACUGACCAUGGACUAGAGGAGAUUUCUUCCUGUCGCCAGAAAGGAUUUCAUCCACACAGCAAGGAUCCACCUCUGUUCUGUCCUAUACUUCAAUAAGAGAUUUGAAGGCAAAGGAAAAGAGAAGCCACUUAAGAUAGAGCUGCAGCCACGUGACUGUUGUGGACAGAGCAGUGACCAUCACAGACCUUCGAUGAGCGUUUGAGUCCAACACCUUCCAAGAACAACAAAACCAUAUCAGUGUACUGUAGCCCCUUAAUUUAAGCUUUCUAGAAAGCUUUGGAAGUUUUUGUAGACAGUGGAAAGGGGGGCAUCACCUGAGAAAGAGCUGAUUUUGUGUUUCAGGUUUGAAAAGAAAUAACAUAUUUUUUAGGCAAGUCAGAAAGAGAACAUGGUCACCAUGUUCUCUUUUGGGUGCAAAAGCAACUGUAACUCAGAAAUUAAGUUACUCAGAAAUUAAGAAAGAAUGGUAUAAUGAACCCCUAUAUACCCUUCCUUCUGGAUUCACCAAUUGUUAACAUUAUUUUCCUCUCAGCUAUCCUUCUAAUUUCUCUCUAAUUUCAGUUUGUUUAUAUUUACCUCUGGGCUCAAUAAGGGCAUCUAUGCAGAAAUUUGGAAGCCAUUUAGAAAAUCUUUUGGAUUUUCCUGUGGCUUAUGGCAAUAUGAAUGGAGCUUAUUACUGGGGUGAGGGACAGCUCACUCCAUUUGACCAGAUGGUUUGGCUAACACAUCCCGAAGAA
This 1008-nucleotide small RNA is filed under the name Pongo abelii (Sumatran orangutan). RNAcentral describes it as "processed transcript". Lineage: Eukaryota; Metazoa; Chordata; Mammalia; Primates; Hominidae. The record is from RNAcentral.